This 533-nucleotide ribosomal RNA is filed under the name uncultured bacterium. Its description in RNAcentral is "bacterial SSU rRNA". It matches the Rfam family "Bacterial small subunit ribosomal RNA", at positions 1 to 527 of the family's 1533-position model. The record is from RNAcentral.
UAGGGGUUUGAUUAUGGCUCAGAAUUGAACGCUGGGCGGUAUGCUUAACACAUGCAAAGUCGAACGGAAACGAAACUAGCUUGCUAGUUGUUCGUCGAGUGGCGGACGGGUGAGUAACGCGUAGGAAUCUACCUAGUAGUGGGGGAUAGCCCGAAGAAAUUCGGAUUAAUACCGCAUAAUCUAUUCGUAGUAAAGUGGGGGACUUUCGAGCCUCACGCUACUAGAUGAGCCUGCGUAAGAUUAGCUUGUUGGUAGGGUAAAGGCCUACCAAGGCUACGAUCUUUAGCUGGUCUGAGAGGAUGAUCAGCCACAUCGGGACUGAGACACGGCCCGAACUCCUACGGGAGGCAGCAGUGGGGAAUAUUGGACAAUGGGGCGACCCUGAUCCAGCAAUACCGCGUGUGUGAAGAAGGCCUGAGGGUUGUAAAGCACUUUCAAUUGUGAAGAAAAGUUAGCGGCUAAUAACCGUUAGCCUUGACGUUAACUUUAGAAGAAGCACCGGCUAACUCCGUGCCAGCCGCCGCGGUAAUACA